UUAGUACUCUCUCCGUUCCAAAAUUCUUGCCUUAGAUUUGUCUAGAUACGGAUGUAUCUAACACGUAUCUAGACAAAUCUAAGACAAGAAUUUUGAGACGGAGGGAGUAUACC
This is a non-coding RNA of Triticum aestivum (bread wheat), 113 nucleotides long. Lineage: Eukaryota; Viridiplantae; Streptophyta; Magnoliopsida; Poales; Poaceae. The record is from Rfam.